RNAcentral lists this ribosomal RNA (481 nucleotides) under uncultured bacterium. RNAcentral's name for it is "partial 16S ribosomal RNA". It matches the Rfam family "Bacterial small subunit ribosomal RNA", at positions 30 to 507 of the family's 1533-position model. The record is from RNAcentral.
AUUGAACGCUGGCGGCAUGCUUUACACAUGCAAGUCGAACGGUAACAGGCCGCAAGGUGCUGACGAGUGGCGAACGGGUGAGUAAUGCAUCGGAACGUGCCCAGUCGUGGGGGAUAACUACUCGAAAGAGUAGCUAAUACCGCAUACGAUCUAUGGAUGAAAGCGGGGGACCGUAAGGCCUCGCGCGAUUGGAGCGGCCGAUGUCAGAUUAGGUAGUUGGUGGGGUAAGGCUCACCAAGCCAACGAUCUGUAGCUGGUCUGAGAGGACGACCAGCCACACUGGGACUGAGACACGGCCCAGACUCCUACGGGAGGCAGCAGUGGGGAAUUUUGGACAAUGGGCGCAAGCCUGAUCCAGCAAUGCCGCGUGCAGGAAGAAGGCCUUCGGGUUGUAAACUGCUUUUGUACGGAACGAAACGGCUCUGGUUAAUACCCGGGGCUAAUGACGGUACCGUAAGAAUAAGCACCGGCUAACUACGUG